CGUUGGUUUGCCCCCAACAUAAACAGCUUUAUUCUGUAUUACGAUGGAAUCGACUCGGGAUUGUCGGAUAAAUUGCAGCUAAUAUUGUAACCCUUAAGUGAUGACAGCGACAUAAUGUUGAGGUGGUGGGUUUAGUAACUAAUUUCAAACUUACGCCACCCCGAAGUUUAGCUCCCGUAGACGGGGUUCAAAUGCUGAUUAUCUCUCUGAUUAGAGCUUAAUCAUACGAUAUAAGUAGACCAAUCAGAGCAGGGCACGUGCGUAACUCAAUAGUAUCGUGUGAGAAGUUCAGAACCUGAAAGGGGUGCUUGCCGACGCGAUAUACACUCCAAGAUCACUUAACGGUGAAACCCUGCGAAGGUCGGAUAGUGUUCGAGUUAGUGUGGCUAGCAGCCGAAGAAAUAAGUAAUGCACAAGCAGCAAUUCAUGUAACUCGAGAAUUGACCAAAAUAUUUUAGGAUAUUCGUCACGACGAGACAGUAGCGCACAUAAAAGUUUAAAGAACAGUCAAUGCUGUUCCAGAUAGAACCUUCAGGCGAAGGUUUUUUUUUUCUAGUCAAAAAAGCGGAAAAGUCCCUCCGAUCCACAUCGUGCACGUGUCGAUCAUCCUCAUCAGCCGCCGUUGGUCGGCAUCACGGACCUCGCUGAUUCGAGUAACGCUCCUGCCGCCAUAGUACGCCGUCGAACUCCGGAACCCGUCGAAGAGCGAAAAAACGGUGUGGGACGCUCCUUGGUGACGACCAAGUCGAAGCAUAGAAUCCCGGGCUCGAAUAGCAGUAUCUGAAUAGUACUUGGACCGACUAGCAACAUAAACGGCGGAAACAAACAGGUCAAAUCCAACUAGAAAUAAGUGAAAGGGUUAAAUUAUGUCUAGCCAAAAGAAAAUAAA
Long non-coding RNA from Topomyia yanbarensis, 889 nucleotides. RefSeq lists it as uncharacterized. The transcript is spliced from 3 exons. The record is from RefSeq and is a predicted model, not a curated record. Lineage: Eukaryota; Metazoa; Arthropoda; Insecta; Diptera; Culicidae.